Molecule: transfer RNA, 76 nt
Filed under: uncultured Nocardioides sp.
Lineage: Bacteria; Bacillati; Actinomycetota; Actinomycetes; Propionibacteriales; Nocardioidaceae
Description: tRNA-Arg
Source: RNAcentral
GCAGUGCCUGGCCACCGGCGACGCGGCCGGCGCCUCCGAGGCGCUGGGGCGCCCGUUCACCGUGCGCGGCACCGUG